UGGUGAACUGAAACCACUGUUACUGCUAACUCACUCACCUUUGUGUCAUCUUCAAUACCAUUCCCUUUUGCACCAUAAUCCAUAACAUUCAGUUCAAUUCUUGAGUCAAAAAUCUUUCUGAAAACCCCCAAUUCCGGUAGCUGCUGCAGUAAAGAAUCAAAACCACCUGCAUCUGCGAAAUUUGAAAAGAGAAAUAUCGAGUAAACGAUGACACAAACAUUUUUUUGAUUUGAAACAACAGAUAAAGAUCCUGCGGUGAUCAUAUCUACAGUGUCAGACUGUCAAGUAACAAUAAGUUCAUUGGGAAAUGAAAAUAUAUUGAUGAGUUUUGGAGAGUUUGAAAGAAUCAUUGUCGGUUGCAGGAGGAUAAAAGUUGUCUCUUCGUACUUUUCUCUAUAGUAUUAUGGUUGUCCAAAGUAAUGACAUAGUGUCAUAUUAAUGAACAGAGACAACUCACCAAUCAAUAUUUAUUUAUGAUUUUAAACCGCAACUUUCGUUAAACACUAGCAAGACGUUAGAAGAUAAAGGCUUACAAGUGGAAAUUACACACAUCUAUUCAUGUCACGUUUACAAGAGACGAUCUAUUAUUACUAUACAUUAAUACUAGGUUAUAACCCCGUGUAUUAUACGGGUUGAAUAUAUGAAUUUUAUAUACCAAAUAAUAAAACAUUAUCUUUUUAAAAUGCUCCUUUAUUGCACGGGUUGAAGAAAUGUAAUUUUAUAUAUUAAAUAAUAAAAUAAGUUAUAUCUAUAAGAACCAUAUGUAUUGUACGGGUUGAAUAAAUGUAAUAUUAU
Molecule: long non-coding RNA, 795 nt
Filed under: Helianthus annuus (common sunflower)
Lineage: Eukaryota; Viridiplantae; Streptophyta; Magnoliopsida; Asterales; Asteraceae
Description: hypothetical non coding rna
Source: RNAcentral